Molecule: long non-coding RNA, 1636 nt
Organism: Bubalus bubalis (water buffalo)
Lineage: Eukaryota; Metazoa; Chordata; Mammalia; Artiodactyla; Bovidae
Exons: 3
Source: RefSeq, a predicted model, not a curated record
UGGAGAAUCCCGAGUAUGGCAGAGCUGGGUGGGGUCUAUGUCAGAGGUACGUCUAUGGGGUUGCACAGUCGGACAUGACUAAGCAACUUAGCAGCAGCAGCAGUGUGUAUAUGUUAAUUCCAAACUACUUUUUAUUUUAGAAUUCACUGUUUUAUAUUUCACUUUUGAUUCUUUUUUAAAUUUAUUUUUAGUUGAAGGAUAAUUGCUUUACAAUGUUAUGUUGAUUGCUGCUGUACAACAACCUGAAUCAGCAUAUAUUCCCUCCCUCCUACCCCCUCAUCCCAGCCCUCUAGGUUGUCACAGAGCACCAGGCUGAGGUGCAUGAGCCUAGAACCUGUUACACAGAGUAAAACAAAACCCAGAGCUUAGCCACCUCCUUCUUGAUCCUGAUGAGAACCUGAUGUGAACCAGUGAUUCUGAAACCAUCCUUUAGCCUGUGUUCAUCAUCAUCCAGUAUAAGCCAAGCAAACCACUCUCUGGAGAAAGAGGUGACCCUAUCAGCCAUCCUGGUACUUUGCUCCUCAAAAGGCACCAUGGAACCCAGGAGGUGGACCUAAACCUCUCCCAGACCAGUACAAGUCCCAUUUAUGGAAGCUUGCACUCAAAGAAGUUCGUCUAAGUGACCAAGGACAAUUUACCAUGAAUUUCCUCCCUGGUUGGGGAUUUACAUGCCGCAACUAAGAUCCCAUAUAAUGUAACAAAGAUUCCAUGGGCCACAAUAAAGAUCCCACGUACCAAAAUUAAAAGAUCGCAUAUGCCACAACUAAAGAUCCCCCAUGCUGCAAAAAGAUCCCAUAUACCACAACUAUAAAUAUCCCACACGCUACAAUGAAGAUUCUGCCUGCCACCAUUAAAAAGAUCCUGUGUGCUGCAACAAAGAUCCCACAUACCGCAGGUAAAGACCUCAUGUGCUACAACAAAAUCCUAUAUGCUGCAAUGCAGAUCAUGCAUGUUGCAACUAGAAGGAUCUUGCAUUUCCCAACUGAUAGAUGCCACAUGCUGUGACUAAAAUAUCCCACAUGCCACAACUAAUAGAUUCUGCAUGGUGGAACUAAGAUCCUACAUAUCACAACAAAUAUCCCAAUAUCACAAUUAAAAGAUCCUACAUGUUGCAACAAAGAUCCUGCAAACCAAAACUAAAAGAAUCUGUAUGUAGCAACUAAAGAUACCCCAUGCCACAACUAAAGAUCUUGCUUACUGCAACUAAAAGAUCCCGCAUGUCACAACUAAAAUUUCCUAAGUGACACAACAAAGAUCCCACAUAUCGCAACAAAUAUCCCCAUAACACAAGUAAAAGAUCUCACAAGCUGAAACCAAACAUAUUCCUCAUUCUGCAACUACAAGAUCCUACAUGCAACAACUAAAAGAUCACAUAUGCUGUAACUAAAGAUUUACAUGCAACUACAAAGAUCCCACACACUACAACUAAAAGAUCCCCCAUGCCACAACUAAAGAUCCUGCAUGCCACCACAAAAUCCCACACACCAAAGCUAAAAGAUCCCAUAGGCCACAACUAAAUAACCCGCAAACUAAAAAUAAAUAUCCCACAUGCCCUGAUUUAAGAGAGGCUGCAUGUAAGCAAUGAAGAUCCCAUGUGCCACAACUAAGACCCAACAUAAACUAAUAAGUUAAAUAC